This 253-nucleotide ribosomal RNA is filed under the name uncultured bacterium. RNAcentral describes it as "partial 16S ribosomal RNA". It matches the Rfam family "Bacterial small subunit ribosomal RNA", at positions 524 to 776 of the family's 1533-position model. The record is from RNAcentral.
UACGUAGGGUGCGAGCGUUAAUCGGAAUUACUGGGCGUAAAGCGCGUGUAGGCGGCCCGGUAAGUCCGCUGUGAAAGUCGGGGGCUCAACCCUCGGAUGCCGGUGGAUACUGUCGGGCUUGAGUACGGAAGAGGCGAGUGGAAUUCCUGGUGUAGCGGUGAAAUGCGCAGAUAUCAGGAAGAACACCGGUGGCGAAGGCGGCGACCUGGUCCGAUACUGACGCUGAGGCGCGAAAGCGUGGGGAGCAAACAGG